This 1593-nucleotide ribosomal RNA is filed under the name metagenome. RNAcentral describes it as "SSU rRNA". It matches the Rfam family "Eukaryotic small subunit ribosomal RNA", at positions 1 to 1245 of the family's 1831-position model. The record is from RNAcentral.
UCUGGUUGAUUCUGCCAGUAGUCAUAUGCUUGUUUCAAGGACUAAGCCACGCAUGCCUCAGAAUCACUGCACUUGCAGGAAUCUGCGCAUGGCUCAUUACAUCAGACGUAAUCUGCCGCAAAUAUCUUGCGGUUUCCGCAAUACUGGAUACCUUGGCGAAACGCCAAGCUAAUACAUGAAUCUAACGGGCAUCCUCCGUUCCAUGCUGAGGAGAGUUCGCUCGAACCUGCAGCGAGGUGCCCUGCGAAUGAAUGAAAUUAAAACCAAUGCCGCGGACGCGGCAGCAUCACUGAGAAGUGUUGAAUCAAUUCAUUCCGUGCGAAAGCCGAAUUUUUCGGCGUCUUUUGACGAACAGCUGCCCUAUCAGCCUGUGAUGGCCGUGUAGUGGACUGCCAUGGCGUUGACGGGAGCGGGGGAUUAGGGUUCGAUUCCGGAGAGGGAGCCUGAGAAACGGCUACCACUUCUACGGAGGGCAGCAGGCGCGCAAAUUGCCCAAUGCCAAAAAAUUGGUGAGGCAGCGAAAAGAAAUAGGCCUCCUUGGUGCCAUUCGGCACCUGGGAGAUUCCAAUGGGGGAUAUUUAAACCCAUCGAACAUCGAGUACCAAUUGGAGGACAAGUCUGGUGCCAGCACCCGCGGUAAUUCCAGCUCCAAGAGCGUAUAUUAAUGCUGUUGCUGUUAAAGGGUUCGUAGUUGAAUUGAGGAUGUUUGGGUUCAUGUUGGUGCAGUCCCUUCAGGCUUCGUGCAGAAUGGUGGCUCCCACGCCUGACAUCCGUGAACGUUCAGAAACAAAGACUACGGGAUUUUGCUUCCUCUCAACAUCUCUCGCGUACAAUGCACGCCGUGUGAGGGGACGCCCGUAAUUUUUACUGUGACAAAAAAAGCGCGACCAAAGCAGUCAAGCGACAUGAAUUUUAAAGCAUGGGAUAACAACGAAGCAGCCUGCGGGUUACCGUUUCGGCUUUUGUUGGUUUUAAAGAUCUGUGGGAGAUUAUGGCAUGGUGUGACAAGCGCUUGGAAGCUUUCUUUCGAAUGUUCUUCCAACGCCUUCCCGCUGUGUUCCUGUUCGCGCAGGGCGCAGUCCGGUUCACCUUUGCUAGGAAUGAAGGAGGGUUGUUCGGGGGAGAACGUACUUGAGCGUGAGAGGUGAAAUUCUUAGACCGCUCAAAGACGAACUACAGCGAAGGCAUUCUCCAAGGAUACCUUCCUCAAUCAAGAACCAAAGUGCGGAGAUCGAAGAUGAUUAGAGACCAUUGUAGUCCGCGCCACAAACGGUGACCCCCAUGAAUUGGGGAGUAUUUGACUUGCUUGCGCCUGCCUUCCGGUAGGUUCGUCAAGCGGUCAAUAGUUACUCAACUUACGUGCACAUUCAACGCCCUGGACGUUAAACACCCAGGGUUCUACGGGAAUAUCCUCAGCACGUUCUCUGACUGUCUCACGCGAAAGCUUUGAGGUUACAGUCUCAGGGGGGAGUACGUUCGCAAGAGUGAAACUUAAAGAAAUUGACGGAAUGGCACCACAAGAUGUGGAGCGUGCGGUUUAAUUUGACACAACACGGGGAACUUUACCAGAUCCGGACAGGGUGAGGAUUGACA